UUCAGGUUUCCCCCGCAAAAUGUAAGUAUGGUACAUAGAAGUGUGAAUAAAAUUACAAUGUGAGCGACAUGUGGAUUUUACCACAUUUUGGAUAUAUCAUUUCAGUACGAAGUAUGUUCUUCCAAUGGAAAACGUAGACGCACAAAAUAUCGGUUUUGCAACAGAGCACUCCGUCCACAACAGGAUGAUAUCCAGAAUGAACCUUCUGAAUCUGAAGCUUCUCCAUAGAAGGUUGAUGUGAAUUUCAACUUAAAUACAAUUUCAAAGGGCGAAUCUUCAUUCGAUGAUGAAGAAAAUGAUGCUACUUACCAUCCUUCUGCAAAUGACUUUUCCUCGGAAAUCUCCAGUUGUUCGCCACAACUUAUGUGCACACCACCAUCUUCAGAGAGUUCGCCGAGAGAAGAAAUUGUAUCGGCCAUAUGGUCCGAUCAAAAAGAGGAAUCGCCCAUAUGUGCCGGACAAGAGUCCGAAUCAGUGGAUAUGGACAUCAAUGUACCCUCUAAAAAGAGCGUAUUCUGUGCAUUUUGAAUCCACCGUCUAUAACUUUCCACGUCAUUUAGAAAGAAACCACCAAAGUGAACUCGAAGUUCAACAACUACUUGUUCUGCCAACAAAGAGUAAAGAAAAAAAAAUGUUUUCUCUCAGAAAAAAGGGGAAUUAUCUAAUGAGCUCACAAAAGACGAUACCUGUAAGAAAAGGUGAUAUAACCACAAAUUAUUUGCCGUGAGAAUACUGUCUGGGCUUUUAUUCUUCUAAAUAUUUAUGGAGACAUAAAAAAUUAUGUAUUGAUAAUCCAACCAAAGGUAGUUCUCAAAAAAAUUGCAAAUCUAUCGCACAGAACCAUCUACAGCGUCAUAUAAAAGUGGACGCAAGAUUAAGAGCUGAAGUAUUUCCCCGUAUGCGAGCUGAUGAGAUAUCACUCACAGCAAAAAAAGAUCCUCUUAUUUGUGCGUUCGGAGCCCGAUAUCUCAAAACUCACAGAGAAAAACAUUUGGUUCUGGUCGCCUCGAGAAAGAUGAGGGAAUUAGCUCGACUACUGAUUGAAAUAAAAAAAAAUUUAAACAUCUAUCAAGGAUCUAUUUAAAGCGCUCAAACCAGAAAACUAUGAUGUUCUGGUAUCAGCCACUGAGACUAUCUCGAGGUAUGAUACAAAUAGCCAACGAUUUGCAUCUCCCACGCUUGCUCUAAAUAUGGGCACCACUCUGAAACAGCGUUGCGAUAUAGCUUCGCUUCUUACAAAAAAAAAGUAUUUUUUUCCAUCAGUACAAACAGGUAAUGUCGAAUCUGAGAUACGAACAUUAAUACAGUUAAUUGAAGGAAAUUAGAAGUUUGAUGUGUCAAGCCAAGCAGCAAACGAUUUGAAGGUUAAGAAAAUUUACUGUCGACUAGUUUUACUGAAUAGACGACGACCUGGGGAAUUUCAACGACUUCCCUUAGAAACUUUCAAAACUGCAUUAGAAAAUAAUAACUGUCAGAGGUAUGAAGAAUUUUCUGAAGCAAUUUCAGAAAAUGAAAUUUCUAAUGAAUAAAUUCAAACGAAUUGUGAUUAGAGGAAAAAGAGGUACCUCCUAAGCCAAGAUGUUCAAGAGCACUUAAAUAUAAUUUUGUCGUAUUGAGACAAUUUUGUCAAAAAACCGAAUGAUCAUCUUUUCGCAAAUCCGUUCACUGGUAAACCUAUUAUAGGUUACAAAAUAUAUUGAAACCAGAGGAUAACAUAGAACAAAGACGAACAGAUUUAUCUGAGGAAAAUAAUAUCGAAGAUGUAAUUGAAGACAUUCUCCUGAUAUAUCCAAAAAGCAACCCCAAAAAUCUCAAAAAAGGAGAAAAAAAGAGUUCUCAUUCCUUGGACAACUUCAGAAAAGAAAGUUGUUCUCGAAUACUUUGAAACUCAUAUAAAGAAUAAAAGACCUCCAAAGAGGGGAGAGUGUGACGACCUGAUUUCAAAAAAUAAGGAACUAUUUAAAAAUAGGAAUUGGCUCAAAAUAAAAGUGUUUGUUCAAAAUCAAUACAAAAAGGAAUGAAAAAGUCGAUAACACUGAUAAUUUUUUUUGGUUGAUAUUUUUUGCUCAUGUUCGAUCUCCUGAUUUUUUUUUUCAUAAUAUGUUUAGUUUUUUUUUAAUGUUACGUACAUGAAGUUAUCUUUCAUUUUGUGCAAGAAAUCAGUUUUCACACAUCAAAGUGCAUUAAUCAAUUUCCUAACAACUCAACCACUUCAUCCCAGUGCGUUCGAGAGAUCCCAAAUCGAAAGGUAGCAACGCAUUACUGAUAUAGUGGUUAGUCAUCGAGUAAUAGUUGAAUUAAUAAUUCGCGGAUGUCGGGUGUGGUAGUCAAUAUCAUUGUACAGUUGGUUAUAGUUAAAUCAAUUUUCAAUGAUUUAACAUUUCACGGAUUAAAAUUAUUCAUUAACACGUGUAAUAGUCGAUUUCGUUUUUGUCUAUAUUUCUCGUCCAUGCCUAGAUAACCGAACCAAACUAUAAUAAUCAAUGUCAUUCCUGGAUAUACAGGUUUUUCAGAGAUCCUCACUUAGUUCUGCCUUCAAACACAAAUUAGGAUAAGAGAG
Molecule: long non-coding RNA, 2560 nt
Organism: Harmonia axyridis
Lineage: Eukaryota; Metazoa; Arthropoda; Insecta; Coleoptera; Coccinellidae
Exons: 3
Source: RefSeq, a predicted model, not a curated record